GUUUGCCUUUCAGAUGGGACUCAGCAGUUCAGCAGAGUGGCUGAGUGCACAGUCUAUGGCCAGAGACACACAGGGAAAGCCAGGGGGAGAGAGAGAGAGAGAGAGAGAGAGAGGAAAUAAAAAAACUAUGAAGAAGAGAUUUAAUAUGCAUCAUGCGCCACCCAUGGAGGCUCGGUAUUAUUAUAGACCUUCUUAACACUGAAGGGGGUGCAUGUGUAUAUAUUCAUGGGUGCUCUUCCGCAAACGAUUGUGAAACAGCAUUCCAGAAACUUAACCAGGGACCUGGGACCAGAAGUCUUGCAGAGUGGCUGGGGCAAGGCUCCCUUCUCUCGUCCAAUUGGGAUAAGUUUUGGGAAGAAGUCUGUCUAGGGCCAGCUGAAGGAGAAGCUGUCUGAGACUCUACAGCUGGCCUAAAUAACUCCAUCUCCAAGGAGGAGAGGAGAGCUGGACACUGGAACAGAGAGCAAAUUCCAGGGGAGAAGACGACUCCAACCAGGCAUGAUCCUGGGGCUUCAUGACACCAAUUUAUAUAUUAAAUAUAUGGCUGUCCAACAUCUUGACAGAUGAAAGAGCCGUGACAAAGUCGGUCCGUUGGUGGUGCUUACCAAUGGUGUGGGAAAAGAGCCUGAAGCGUGAGCGGCAAACCUUCCCACAGUGGCUACCGGUCCGCUCACCAGAUGGAAGUUGAAGAACAGUCUGCUUCCUGGCUCGCCUGCAGGCCUCAGCCUGGGCUCUCUGAUGGCUCUUCGUGGUGACUGUGCCAGCCUUAACUCAGCUUCUCCAAACUGAGCAAUUGUGGGCCGGAUUUUCCCAGUUGUCAGUGGGAACGCUGAAUUUCUUGGGGCCUGUCCUUGCUUCACGUCGUCGCUAUAUCAGAGCUUUGGCCUUCCUCUGUGUCGCUGGCAGUUCUUAAGUUGGAAAGUUUGAAACUUAGAAAAUAAGCUACUUGGUUCCAAAUGACUAAAUUACAGCAUGACUCAGUGUCAUGGCUGGGUCACUGUGCCCCAGAGCUGAAGCACCAAAUCAUUGAAAUAGUGUGGACUGGUACAAAAUGGCAUAUUGAACUGAACAAAGGCCUGGAUCAAUGAAGCCAUUAACAAAGCAACCUUCUGGGGAGCAGAGACGACAUAGAGGCUAUGUGAUGAUGCCCAGGAGUCUUUUUUGUUUGUUUUUUCUUUAAGAACAAGCUAUAUGGCACAAAAUCUGUAAUGCACAGAACAGUGAUGUAUUAAAAAGGUCUUUACAGCAACCCUAUAAUUGAAUUUCCAGGAACAAAAGAACUCUUCUCUCUUUCCCUCUCCCUCUCCCGCCAACACUCAUUUUAUCUGAUCCACUGACAAUGUCAACUAAUCGCUUCCUUGGAGGCAAUGCUAUUAGUGGCACCAUCAGACCUGAUAUACUUGCCCCCUCUUACUUGAUCGUUUUGAUGUAAAGCCUCUUCCAGACCCCAGAGAGACUGCCUCUCUCCACUUCUUCUCCCAUCAUACACCGAAAGUGUGCUGGAGAACAUUUCUUGUACAGUGACAACUGCAAGGCUCCAGAGUGGGAACAGCACAAUCAUACUGCAAGUGAGACUUUAUUGGAAAGUCAUAAAUUAUCCUCCCCCCCCCCAAUUUUAUGUGAGUGGCUGAUAUUGUACGUAAUGAAUUGUGUGAGCACACAAAGAUUUCUUGACAUAGAGACUCUGUUGCUAUUAUGAAUUCACCAUGUUGAGUAUUGUAGGGCUCCAAUGUUUGCAAGGCAAUCCCCACCCCACCAAAAACCCCAAACCUAAUUGCCCCCAGACUUCUAAGAGCCGUUGACAUGGCAAGAAGAUCAUAAUGGAUAUUGUGAUGGGUUGGACCCCUUGGGAAGCAACCUGAUGUGCUGAGAUACCACUGAGUCUACCUGUUCUGCCAGCAUGGGCCCUC
Molecule: long non-coding RNA, 1910 nt
Organism: Mauremys reevesii (Reeves's turtle)
Lineage: Eukaryota; Metazoa; Chordata; Testudines; Geoemydidae
Exons: 3
Source: RefSeq, a predicted model, not a curated record